CAGCCGCCACGGGAAUACAGAGGGUGCGAGCGUUAAUCGGAUUUACUGGGCGUAAAGCGUGCGUAGUCGGCUUUUUAAGUCGGAUGUGAAAUCCCUGAGCUUAACUUAGGAAUUGCAUUCGAUACUGGGAAGCUAGAGUAUGGGAGAGGAUGGUAGAAUUCCAGGUGUAGCGGUGAAAUGCGUAGAGAUCUGGAGGAAUACCGAUGGCGAAGGCAGCCAUCUGGCCUAAUACUGACGCUGAGGUACGAAAGCAUGGGGAGCAAACAGGAUUAGAUACCCGAGUAGUCCCUGUCUCUUAUAC
Molecule: ribosomal RNA, 301 nt
Filed under: uncultured bacterium
Lineage: Bacteria
Description: partial 16S ribosomal RNA
Rfam family: Bacterial small subunit ribosomal RNA
Source: RNAcentral